UGGGGAAUUUUGGACAAUGGGCGCAAGCCUGAUCCAGCCAUACGGCGUGAGUGAAGAAGGCCUUCGGGUUGUAAAGCUCUUUCAGACGGAAAGAAACGGUCGCGGCCAAUACCCGCGACUAAUGACGGUACCGUAAGAAGAAGCACCGGCUAACUACGUGCCAGCAGCCGCGGUAAUACGUAGGGUGCGAGCGUUAAUCGGAAUUACUGGGCGUAAAGCGUGCGCAGGCGGUUUGGUAAGACAGAUGUGAAAUCCCCGGGCUUAACCUGGGAACUGCAUUUGUGACUGCCAGACUAGAGUGUAGCAGAGGGGGGUAGAAUUCCACGUGUAGCAGUGAAAUGCGUAGAUAUGUGGAGGAAUACCGAUGGCGAAGGCAGCCCCCUGGGCUAACACUGACGCUCAUGCACGAAAGCGUGGGGAGCAAACAGGAUUAGAUACCCCCGUAGUCCCUGAGCGGGCUGGCAAGGCGCAU
Molecule: ribosomal RNA, 472 nt
Filed under: uncultured bacterium
Lineage: Bacteria
Description: bacterial SSU rRNA
Rfam family: Bacterial small subunit ribosomal RNA
Source: RNAcentral